RNAcentral lists this ribosomal RNA (500 nucleotides) under uncultured bacterium. Its description in RNAcentral is "bacterial LSU rRNA". It matches the Rfam family "Bacterial large subunit ribosomal RNA", at positions 693 to 1181 of the family's 2925-position model. The record is from RNAcentral.
CGAAUCAGUCGCUGGGUGUAGACCCGAAACCAAGUGAUCUAUCCAUGGCCAGGAUGAAGGUGCCGUAACAGGUACUGGAGGUCCGAACCCACUAGUGUUGCAAAACUAGGGGAUGAGCUGUGGAUAGGGGUGAAAGGCUAAACAAACUUGGAAAUAGCUGGUUCUCUCCGAAAACUAUUUAGGUAGUGCCUCAAGUAUUACCUGCGGGGGUAGAGCACUGUUUAGGCUAGGGGGUCAUGGCGACUUUACCAAACCUAUGCAAACUCCGAAUACCGCAGAGUACAGCUUGGGAGACAGUAGCACCGGGUGCUAACGUCCGGACUCAAGAGGGAAACAACCCAGACCGCCAGUCUAAGGUCCCUAAAAUUGGCUAAGUGGGAAACGAAGUGGGAAGGCUAAAACUAGUCAGGAUGUUGGCUUAGUAAGCAGCCAUCAUUUUAAAGAAAGCGUAAAUAGCUCACUUGAUUCGAGUCGUCCUGCGACGGAAGAUGUAACGGGGC